GAGUUUGAUCUUGGCUCAGAUUGAACGCUGGCGGCAGGCCUAACACAUGCAAGUCGAGCGGUAGAGAGAAGCUUGCUUCUCUUGAGAGGCGGCGGACGGGUGAGUAAUGCCUAGGAAUCUGCCUGGUAGUGGGGGAUAACGCUCGGAAACGGACGCUAAUACCGCAUACGUCCUACGGGAGAAAGCAGGGGACCUUCGGGCCUUGCGCUAUCAGAUGAGCCUAGGUCGGAUUAGCUAGUUGGUGAGGUAAUGGCUCACCAAGGCGACGAUCCGUAACUGGUCUGAGAGGAUGAUCAGUCACACUGGAACUGAGACACGGUCCAGACUCCUACGGGAGGCAGCAGUGGGGAAUAUUGGACAAUGGGCGAAAGCCUGAUCCAGCCAUGCCGCGUGUGUGAAGAAGGUCUUCGGAUUGUAAAGCACUUUAAGUUGGGAGGAAGGGCAGUAAAUUAA
RNAcentral lists this ribosomal RNA (453 nucleotides) under uncultured bacterium. RNAcentral describes it as "bacterial SSU rRNA". It matches the Rfam family "Bacterial small subunit ribosomal RNA", at positions 9 to 463 of the family's 1533-position model. The record is from RNAcentral.